This 478-nucleotide ribosomal RNA is filed under the name uncultured bacterium. Its description in RNAcentral is "partial 16S ribosomal RNA". It matches the Rfam family "Bacterial small subunit ribosomal RNA", at positions 28 to 507 of the family's 1533-position model. The record is from RNAcentral.
GAUGAACGCUGGCGGCGUGCUUAACACAUGCAAGUCGAACGAGAAGUGAAGACGGAAACCUUCGGGCGGAAGGCUUUAUUUCGAGUGGCGGACGGGUGAGUAACGCGUGGGUAACCUGCCUCAUACAGGGGGAUAACAGUUGGAAACGACUGUUAAUACCGCAUAAGACCACAGCACCGCAUGGUGCGGGGGUAAAAACUCCGGUGGUAUGAGAUGGACCCGCGUUCGAUUAGCCAGUUGGCGGGGUAACGGCCCACCAAAGCGACGAUCGAUAGCCGAUCUGAGAGGAUGACCGGCCACAUUGGGACUGAGACACGGCCCAAACUCCUACGGGAGGCAGCAGUGGGGAAUAUUGCACAAUGGGGGAAACCCUGAUGCAGCGACGCAGCGUGAGUGAAGAAGUAUUUCGGUAUGUAAAGCUCUAUCAGCAGGGAAGAAAAUGACGGUACCUGAGUAAGAAGCCCCGGCUAACUACGUG